RNAcentral lists this transfer RNA (77 nucleotides) under archaeon. Its description in RNAcentral is "tRNA-Ala". It matches the Rfam family "tRNA". From Rfam's summary of the family: Transfer RNA (tRNA) molecules are approximately 80 nucleotides in length. The record is from RNAcentral. RNAcentral also lists the same sequence under 1 other name.
GGGCCGGUCGUCUAGCCUGGUAGGAUGCCCGGCUUGCACCCGGGAGGUCGGGGGUUCAAAUCCCCCCCGGUCCACCA